This is a long non-coding RNA of Cucumis sativus (cucumber), 3007 nucleotides long. RefSeq lists it as uncharacterized. The transcript is spliced from 8 exons. The record is from RefSeq and is a predicted model, not a curated record. NCBI's taxonomy places the organism in Eukaryota, Viridiplantae, Streptophyta, Magnoliopsida, Cucurbitales, Cucurbitaceae.
UUUCCCUAUUUCCUUCUUCCUCCCGUGCGUCCUUCCCCUUCUCCCCAGCCGCAACCGCCGCGCCUCUUCUCCUUCCUCCCGUACGCCGCGACGACUCCACCGUCUCCUUCUCCCUUCCCUUCCGUUUCCUUCCCGCCGCAGCCCAGCCGCAACCAGCCGUCUUUCUCUUCCGUUUUCUUUCCGCCGCAGCCCAGCGGUAGCCCGCGAUCUGUCGUCUCCAUCUCCGGUUCGCGAAGCAACCUUGCAGCAGUCAUCCCGCGUGCCGAUCUGCCGUCUCCAUCGCCGGUUCUGUCUUCGUCGAAGCCCGAGCCGCCGUGUGAACCAGUAACCGCCACGUUCGCCGCUCACAACCGCCGUAAAGCCAGCCGCGCAACCUUCGUUCCAACCGCUGCACUGCCGCGCGAUUCUCCGGCCACGUCUUCUUUAGCCGACCGCUGACCGACCCACACUUAGGAUUUUGCUGCGAGUUCGACAGUCGUGCGUUGAGUGUUGGGAGUAACCUUGGGCUCCCUUAAAUUCACAACCAAAUUGUGAAUUGUUGAGGGUUCAGUUCGCCAAUAUUUCGGAUUUGAUUCAUUGGAUUUAGUCGAUUGAAGAAUUUGCAUAGAAAUCGAGGGGAAGGGGUGUGUAAGGGAUUUUGAUUUUAGUCAUUGAAUGCCAGUGUGUAGCGCCCACCUCCAGGUGACGGAUUUUCAGCAGCCACCGUCGCCCUCUUCCAAUUUUGUUUUCGACAACCCUCUCUAUUCUAUGUUGCUGUUUCCAAUGGGGUUGUAUUAUCUUCUGGAGUAUACAUGUUGGAUUUGUUGUAGAUGUAGCCAUGGUUUCCUCCUUCGUUGCUUAUUCUUAACUUCAUGUAACUUAUAGCCAUCUAAUUCGUUUCUUCUUCCUAUUUUUUCUCCUCUUCUAAUGGCAUCUUUCAUUCUCUACAUCCAACUUGCGCAACCGUGAUAUAUUCUCCAAGGUAAGUAUCUCUUUAAUGGACGUCAAAAGACUGCAUCUUGAAAAAUGAUUUCAUCCAAGAUAUAUUCAUAUGGGCUUUUUUAUUCCUUUGAAAGAAUGUCAUUCAUAUAUUACACAUCCUUAUACCUGAGUUUACAAGGUUGUUAUAGUACUUUCGCGUUUCAUGAGUGAAAAGAUAGAAUCAAGUUGCGGAAUUACGUUCAUUUUUAGAGCUCUUAAGUGAUUGAAGAUAGUUGAUGUAUAUUUAUUUUCUCAAAAGUCACAUUUUUUGCAAGUUUGGUUUACUUUGGAUUUAUUAAAGAUAAUACCAGUUCACUUAUUGAUUCCAUUCAUUCCCGAAAAAAUUCUUUAAAAAAAUUUAGUUUAACACCAAGAAUCGCUUUGAGGAUUUAUCUCCUUAAGGGUUGUCGGAACCAUAUACUGAACAUCUACAAUACGUUUGAUCAUAGUUAACUUUACAAUGAUCUAGUUGAUAGUCUUCCUAUUUGUUGAGCUUCUCUUUUAGAUUGAAGGAAAGGGAAAGACUUGGCUAGGUUGUGGCAAGCAAACUUCUUCGCUAUUAUGUGGAGAAAUUUAGAGGGGAGGCUAGGGAGUUAGAGAGUUUUUUUGGAAAAAAAAAAAGAGACGGGACUUUACAUUAAGAGAAUGAAAAAAAAAGACCAAUGUUCAAAGAAGUGAAAAAGAGCAACAUAGCACAAAAAAAAGACAUAGGAACAUAAUGCAAAAAGUAAGCUAGAGAGGUGAUAAGGAUAAUUAGUAUAUUUUAGUUAAUUGGUUAAUUGUCUUAUUUUCCUGUAAGGCUAUAGAUAGCCAAUUUAGAGUGUAUUUGAACCUCUUGAAUAUCUUUCCAAUAUAGAACGUUGUUCUUGGAGAGCUUUUUCUCAUCUCUAAGGAAUGAGAUUUCUCUUGUUCCAGAAUGGAUUUGGCAUGGUACUCCAACCUGCUGCAUCAAGAGGUUUAAUUAUUCAGUUUGGGCAUUGAUCACUAGGACUUUUUGUAAUUGUGAUAAUGAUCUUGUUCUUUUUUAUUAGAUUGUUUUAUGUGAUUAGUCAUUGACUCCUUUUUAUGAGUAUUACGUCUUUUUUUUGUUUUUCUUAUUGCAAUUUGGUUUUGGUAUUUCUGUUGUAUGUCUUUUUAUUAUUAUUAUUGCAAUUUGGUUUUGGUAUUUCUGUUAUGAAUAGAGUUUUGUUUGCCCUUGGUUCUUUUAUUUUUUCAAUAAACGUUCGGUUGCUUAAAUAAAAUGGUUCUCUGGACAGAAGUGAAUUGUGAGUUUACUGAAUUUGGUAAAUUUAGAAGCAUUCCUCUGUGCAUCCUCUAGUAGAUUUUGGAUUUUCCUCUUCCACUGUAAUGGAAUUGGACCGAGAAAAGUUAAUGUGUUCCAGUUAUUUUACGGUGCUGGCACUUACAUGUUUGGAAUUGAUGAUGAACGAAUAAUUGAUGCUACAAGGGCUGGAAGCAUUGCUCAUCUGAUCAACCACUCUUUCGAAUAACUGUUGCUCCUCACAGAAGUGUUCAAGGAUAAAUAAAGGUUCAUAUUAGAAGUGGACGUCCAUUAGUUUUGGGGAUAGACUUUAGUUUUGGUAUCUCCAAUUGAGAAUUUAGCCAUUGUGCUUACUCUUUAUGGAGUAUCUAAAGACAAGAAAUCGACACUCCAAUGCUAUGAAAAUUUUCCUAUAAGCUGAUGAUAUGUGGGGAAGAUAUUCAUAGUUCAUCUUUAUUGGCGAUGAUUGCAUAAUACAAACUGUUUAACUCUAAGGAUUACAAAUUGUCGUACAUGUAUUGUCGUAGGCUGUUUUGUUCUAAGGACUAGGAACAACCCAAGAAGUUGUUCAAUUUGCAGUGGCCAUUUGAUUUUAAAGAGUUGAAGAUAACAAUCGAUGAGACAUUGAGCUUUGAGUUAUGUGAGAGUUCUUUUUUAACUGAGGUAACUGCUUAGAUUCUUCUGCUAAAGUUCAAAAUGUCCACACCUCCCAAGGAAUAACUCACGGUUCAACUGGAGUCGACAAGUUCAUGAGUUUUGUUUCAAAUAUCAUUUCCAGAAACGAAC